GACGAACGCUGGCGGUAUGCUUAACACAUGCAAGUCGAACGAGAAGUCUUUUAUUGAACCUUCGGGGGAUAUAAGAGACAGACAGUGGCGAACGGGUGAGUAACGCGUGGGCAACCUACCUAUCGGAGCGGGAUAGCCUCGAGAAAUCGGGAGUAAAACCGCAUAACACGGAUAUAUCGCAUGAUGAAUCCGUCAAAACUCCGGUGCCGAUAGAUGGGCCCGCGUCUGAUUAGCUAGUUGGUAAGGUAAGGGCUUACCAAGGCAACGAUCAGUAGCCGGUCUGAGAGGGCGAACGGCCACACUGGAACUGAGACACGGUCCAGACUCCUACGGGAGGCAGCAGUGGGGAAUAUUGCGCAAUGGGGGCAACCCUGACGCAGCAAUACCGCGUGAGUGAAGAAGGUUUUCGGAUCGUAAAGCUCUGUUAUUGGGGAAGAAGCAGUGACGGUACCCAAUGAGGAAGUCCCGGCUAACUACGUGCCAGCAGCCGCGGUAAUACGUAGGGGACGAGCGUUGUCCGGAAUCACUGGGCGUAAAGGGCGCGUAGGCGGUUUUAUAAGUCAGAUGUGAAAGGUACCGGCUCAACCGGUGACGUGCAUUUGAAACUGUAAGACUUGAGUACUGAAGAGGCAAGCGGAAUUCCUAGUGUAGCGGUGAAAUGCGUAGAUAUUAGGAAGAACACCGGUGGCGAAGGCGGCUUGCUGGGCAGAUACUGGCGCUGAGGUGCGAAAGCGUGGGGAGCGAACAGG
This 749-nucleotide ribosomal RNA is filed under the name uncultured Pseudoramibacter sp. RNAcentral's name for it is "bacterial SSU rRNA". It matches the Rfam family "Bacterial small subunit ribosomal RNA", at positions 28 to 776 of the family's 1533-position model. The record is from RNAcentral. Lineage: Bacteria; Bacillati; Bacillota; Clostridia; Eubacteriales; Eubacteriaceae.